ACAUACCUUAACUGACUCUGAUGC
RNAcentral lists this non-coding RNA (24 nucleotides) under Gossypium hirsutum (cotton). The record is from RNAcentral. Lineage: Eukaryota; Viridiplantae; Streptophyta; Magnoliopsida; Malvales; Malvaceae.